UUGACUUUCAAAACUAAAAAUUAACAAGUUUUGAACAAUGCAUUACAUAUUUUUAAAAAUGCAUUUGCUUGGGCAAUAACUAAGCAAAUAUAAUAAUUAGCAAAUUCACACAUAUAUAAAUCAGUCUCAUCGAAACCACUGGUUUAAAUAUUACUUUCCAGGAUGUUUUGAGCAUGUAAACGCAAUAAACCACAGGUAAUACAAUGUAAAACAAGUUUAUUCAGCAGGUUUCCUUUCAAUUCAGAGAAGAUGAUAUAUUGUGAGCCUUUGCUCUGGAGUUUCCAGCUGAUUGCAUUAGCCGGUCAGCACAGUAUGACUCUUAAUAGUGCAGAAUGAAACACUGUCAUCAUCCUAUAAUCAGCCUGUCAAGAGCUGCAGGAGAAACCUAAGAUGCAUGUGGAAAAAUAAGGCUCUCGCGUCAGAGUAAGCAGAAAUGAUGGGACCUCACGAGAGUUUGUCCUUGAAGAGAGUUCUCGCCACUUUUAAAGCUCAAUUUUUCUCCAAAUCAAAUCACACAUGCUCUCAUUGUAGAAUAUACAAAGUACACAUACUGCAUGAAGAAGAAAUAUAAAAGUAAACACCUGUUUCUUUGACCCUAUAUAUGUUUAAGCACACAGAUACAGACGUGGCUUGUGCUGUUCAUGCCGAACUCUGCAGAUUGAGAGAACAGAUACAAACAGGCUGUUGGCACUUAAAAUACUGCAGUCUGAAGCCACACGAGCGGCUUACUUGUGCUAUAAUAAAGAUACUGUAUAAUGCAACACCCAAUACACACCUGUACAACCAAUACAGCCUAUGACUUAAAGAAACAGUUCACCCAAAAAAUCUGAUGCUUCCUCAUCAGAUUUGGAGAAAUGUAGCAUUGCAUCAGUGUCUCAGCAAUGGAUGCUCUGCAGUGAAUGGGUGCCGUCAGAAUGAGAGUCCAAACAGCUGAUAAAAACAUCACAAUAAUCCACAAGUAAUCCACAGCACUCCAGUCCAUCAGUUAAUAUCUGGAGAAGACAAAAGCUGAAACAAAUCCAGCAUUAAGACGUUUUUAACUUCAAACUGUUGCUUUCAGAGUCCAUAAUAAAUAAUAUUGCAUUUUUCCAGUGAAAAAAAAUUAAAUAAUUUAGCACAGAAAACAACCAAAAAAAUUCAGUGUAAUUCAAAACACACACUCGCAGCUGUACAGAAAUUUGUGCAUUUUUUUUUAAAACAAAUAUUUUAACAUUAAGGAUUUAUUCAUGUUUUAAUAUUUUGACUUUACAAUAUUUAAAUCAAAAUCAUAAUUUCAAAUAAUAUAAAAUCUCUAUACAGUUGUUUUGGACUGGAGUGGAUUAUUGUGAUGUUUUUAUCAGCUGUUUGUACUCUCAUUCUGACGGCACCCAUUCACUGCAGAGCAUCCAUUGCUGAGACACUGAUGCAAUGCUACAUUUCUACAAAUCUGAUGAAGAAACAAACUCAUCCUGAUCUUAGAUGACCUGAGGGUGAGCACAUCUUCAGCAAAUUGUAUUUUUUUGCCUGAAUUAUUGCUUUAAUCAAAUUAAAGUUUGAAGCUUUAGAGCUGCAGAAAGCAACUACACUAGAUGUAUUCAAGCACAUUCAUGAAUCCAUUCCUCGAUGAAGAACUACAGCUAUUCUUAAGUAUAAAUUCCCUCACGAGUUAAAGGGAUCCUUAUAUUCUAUCAAACAGAAUUUUGUAUUUCUACCUACUUGUAUAUUUCUGCCAGUGCAGCUAAUAUUUAAUGCUUUAUGUCAAUGCUCUCGUCUAAACUAAGCAUUCCACAGUAUGAACAUAAGGAGGCGUUUGGCGCCACAUUCAAGCUGGUCUUUGGUUUCUACUCACUCCCAGCUGAGAAACUGAAUCAGAAAAACUCUCAACGGCACAAAAGCUCAUUCAGGACUUUCUAAAAUGGUAAACAUCAUUUUCAGUUUCAAAUGUCAAGUUUGUCCUUUGAGCCACAAAGAUCUUUGCUACAAACUUGUUUUGGUUGUAAACUAAAUAACACAAUUUUCCUUAAAUACUCAUGAUUCAAUUAGAUUUUGAAACACAGAGUCAUGAUUAAAUUCUAAACUGAUUAAAUUUUUUUUAACCUAAUCUUUUAAAGUGUUUGUAAAAAUUCAUUUGAUUUCACAAUAACAGCUAUUCAUGAGUAAGUUUAAUGUUACAGAAAUGUGUGAAUUUUUUGAUUAUUAAAUCAUUUAAAAUUAUUACAAAUAAUAUAUAUA
Long non-coding RNA from Cyprinus carpio carpio, 2211 nucleotides. The record is from Ensembl. NCBI's taxonomy places the organism in Eukaryota, Metazoa, Chordata, Actinopteri, Cypriniformes, Cyprinidae.